UACGUAGGGUGCGAACGUUGUCCGGAAUUAUUGGGCGUAAAGAGCUCGUAGGCGGCUCGUUGCGUCGGCUGUGAAAACCCGCGGCUCAACUGUGGGCUUGCAGCUGAUACGGGCGGGCUGGAGUUCGGUAGGGGAGACUGGAAUUCCUGGUGUAGCGGUGAAAUGCGCAGAUAUCAGGAGGAACACCGGUGGCGAAGGCGGGUCUCUGGGCCGAUACUGACGCUGAGGAGCGAAAGCGUGGGGAGCGAACAGG
This 253-nucleotide ribosomal RNA is filed under the name uncultured bacterium. RNAcentral's name for it is "partial 16S ribosomal RNA". It matches the Rfam family "Bacterial small subunit ribosomal RNA", at positions 524 to 776 of the family's 1533-position model. The record is from RNAcentral.